Molecule: long non-coding RNA, 303 nt
Organism: Cloeon dipterum
Lineage: Eukaryota; Metazoa; Arthropoda; Insecta; Ephemeroptera; Baetidae
Exons: 3
Source: RefSeq, a predicted model, not a curated record
CACUGACUCGUGCAUUCGACCAGUCAUCAGCAGCAGAUCAAGCAGCACGGUAUUUCAAGUCUGAAACAGCAGCCGGGAAAAUGCCUCUGCUGAGCUUGGAAGAAAUUUCAAUAUCAAAAAUUGUGGAGAAUAUUGACAUCUGCAGGAAAUAUUUGAGGAAGUUCGUAGCACCACCGAUGCUUCAAAAGCUGCUUGAGGAAGUGUUGAAGGACGGGAAUACCGAUUACGAACAGAAAUGGCAGGCUUUGCCGCACUUACUCAGCUGGAAAACCGAAAAUUUCGAAACUGGAGUGUUGUCAAAAC